UCAGAUCACGUAAGGUUUUAAAGGUUGAACAAACCUACCUUCUAGGCUGCUGCACUUAGAGGAAACCUUAAGCCAACAUCGAGGUGCCAAACCCCCCUGUCAAUUUGAGCUCUUGAGGGGGAUUAGUCUGUUAUCCCUGUGGUAGCUCUUCUCUUGAUUAUUAUUAUAGAUCAUUUAAGUGACUAAUAGGUCUCUAUUAAAAGGAAGCUUUAUUUCUUCCUUAGUCGCCCCAACUAAACCUUUAUAAAUUUUAUAAUUUAGUGUAGGUAAAGCUCAACAGGGUCUUUUUGUCCUUUAGUUAAAUUUAGGCGUCUUCACCUAAAGCUUAGUUUAUAGAUUUGUAAAGGAGACAGCUGCACUUUCGUGUGUCCAUUCAUACUAGCCUCUAAUUAGGAGGCAAAUUAUUAUGCUACCUUUGCACGGUCAGGAUACCGCGGCCGUUUAAUGUCUCACUGGGCAGGAUGUACCUAGGAUGUUUAGUCCCUAGGCUAUGUUUUUGAUAAACAGGC
Molecule: ribosomal RNA, 509 nt
Filed under: Ninoe nigripes
Lineage: Eukaryota; Metazoa; Annelida; Polychaeta; Eunicida; Lumbrineridae
Description: partial 16S ribosomal RNA
Source: RNAcentral